Molecule: long non-coding RNA, 2001 nt
Organism: Brassica oleracea var. oleracea
Lineage: Eukaryota; Viridiplantae; Streptophyta; Magnoliopsida; Brassicales; Brassicaceae
Exons: 8
Source: RefSeq, a predicted model, not a curated record
CGUUGUUUCCACUUCUUCAACUGAUCGUCGAUCAAUCGACACACUACUCCAAAUAUGUGCAAUAAAUCCUCCGAAAAUCUCAUUUAUGGCUUCCUUUCGCCUUUCUACCUCUAAGUUUCUUUAUAACACUCUUUUUUUCCCAGAUUUAUUACACACAAAAUUGUGUAUAUUCUCUAAAGCUAUGAAUUCUAACAGCAAAUCCCCUGUUUACGGCGAUCUUAUCUCGAAGAAACCAGGUAUCUCCUCCGCGAGCCGAUCAAUCGUACCAGCAAAACCGGUGUCUCUUCUGCCAAACGGCAAGGUGUUGUGUUCUCCGACGUGCCGAUCAAACAUAGCGGCGAACCGGUCAAUAUACUACCACGUCAAUUUAUUCCUUCCGCUGCUCUCUUCAUCUCCUUCCUGACAUAUUAAAUCUCUUGGUUUCCUUCCCUGCAAAUUCACAAUCCCUUCUAAUACAUUUAAUUGCAUUAGUUAAUUGAUCAACGUUAUGGCUUUUUGCUUUUUCUUACGAUUCAUUUGUUGUUGAUUUCCCUAUAAAUCGAGUGAUGGCCAAACCUGAUUCUCAGUUUUUUCUCACCCUUAGGUUUUUGGCUUAUAGAGCUUGAGAUUUUGUUUUCUUUUCGCCAGCUCUUUCGUAUGCUCAUAGUCAUCAAUGUUUAUUUGGAUCUCGCAAUAGGUUAUAGAAUAACUUCAGGAAAUCUGAUCUGACACUAUAUUUCAUAUUUUUAGGUUAUAAGGAGGACUUGCCCUUCAGAAGGUAGCAAUUUCAUGGAGAAGGUCAUGCAUCUUGAUGUUCAGAUUUGUAUGCAUGAGAUUGAGUUUGAGUUGGAGUCUAAGGGAAGAAAUAUUUUUCAGGAGAAGGAGAUAAUUUAGAGUAACUGAAAUAUAAGAAACUAAAGACUCAGCGUACUUCACGAGAAAAGCUAUAUGGCAAAUCUGUACUCUUAACUUAUCAACAUCAACGUUUCAACUAGUUUUGUAAAUUGUAUCUGAGAUCUUGCCAAGUCAGUCUUGAUGUUAACAAGCAAAGUCCAAGUGCUAUCACUAUUUGUAUCCAUUCCAGUCCUAGGAUGGUAUAUGACAGUAUAUAUUCAUAUAUUACAGUAUUGCUUCACAAUGCCAGUCUUGAGCUUAGGUUGUUGACUACUUUAAUGUUGGUACUGGACAUGUUUCUCUGUCUCCCAGAAUUCAAGCAUCGGCAUGGAGAAGUCAAAGCUGAUUUAGCAGCAGCAUGCCUGAUCCCAUUCUUCUGGGAUUUAACUGUGUUCUGUUUGGAAUGGUAUAACCUAUGAUGAAGGAGAAGACUUCAUUUUACAGAGAUCCUUUGACUGGCUCAGAGAAAGGGACCAACUUAGACAAGAGAUGAAGGCUCUUUCUUUGCUAAUGAUGCAGAGUGUGGAGUUUCUGUUCAUGAUGACAAGAGACUUUGAGUUAUUAAGCAUGUCUGGUGCUCUUGAGUAACUGAACUAUCAUGGAAAUACAUCCUUUCCAGAAGAUAAUUAUUCAGCAGGGAAGUUGAUCGAUCCCUCAUGACUUCCUUUCCAAAAUAUUUGCAAAGGCACUCUCUGAGGCCAUGUUACCAUGCGUCAAUGCAUGUCAGCAUGAUGGUGUCAGUGUUAGUUUGAAUUUAGAGAACCAUGAGCUUUUAUUUGCAGAUCAUCAUGAAUGACAAUCUCAGUGAGCUAAAGGAACCGGUUAUGGCACGUUCGGUCCAGUGCAUCAUGGGAAAUGGAAAGAAUCAUAUUGCGUUCAAGAGGAUCCACAGACCAAACUAAUUAGAAAAGAUAUCUUCCAAUCGAUGUACGUAGCAGAGAGAAUGUUAAAGAUGAUAGAUAUAUCAUUCAUCUUUUAUUUUCUGUUGUGCUAACUAAGCACACGUGGGAUGAUUAAUCUGCCUGGAAUCGUCCAAGAAUUUUUUUUUCGCUUUUACAAUGAAAUUUCCGAAGCAGAGAUAUUGGAUAUUAUCAUUGUAUUCAGAUUUGUAAACAUGUGUUACAUAUA